AGCAGCCGCGGUAAUUCCAGCUCCAAUAGCGUAUAUUAAAGUUGUUGCAGUUAAAAAGCUCGUAGUUGAAUUUCGGGAUCAAUUAAUUGGUCGUGCCUCUGGUACGUACUGAUUUUAUUGGUUUCUCCCUUCUGACGAACCAUGAUGUCAUUAAUUUGGUGUCGUGGAGAAUCAGGACUGUUACUUUGAAAAAAUUAGAGUGUUUAAAGCAAGCUAACGCUUGAAUACAUUAGCAUGGAAUAAUGAAAUAGGACGUUUGAUCCUAUUUUGUUGGUUUCUAGGAUCGACGUAAUGAUUAAUAGGGAUAGUUGGGGGCAUUAGUAUUCAAUUGUCAGAGGUGAAAUUCUUGGAUUUAUUGAAGACUAACUACUGCGAAAGCAUUUGCCAAGGAUGUUUUCAUUAAUCAAGAACGAAAGUUAGGGGAUCGAAGACGAUCAGAUACCGUCGUAG
Molecule: ribosomal RNA, 450 nt
Filed under: uncultured Glomeromycotina
Lineage: Eukaryota; Fungi; Glomeromycota
Description: SSU rRNA
Rfam family: Eukaryotic small subunit ribosomal RNA
Source: RNAcentral